CGCGUGCGCGCUCACCUGGCACUGGCUCCUGGCGAGGGCGACCUGGCGUCCUUUCCCUCCUCGCAGUGUCAGCUGGAGCCCAGAGAAACUCAUUGUAUCCAGCUCACAUUGAUUUAUGGGGUAUUUCUGCCAAGUGGAAUAUUCAUUUCUGCCCACACCGAGGACCACUCCAGAGGCAAGAUGAGACAAUGGAGGCUCAUGGAGAUGAAGGAGAAAAGGACUGAAUAAGGCCCAAACCCCAGGACAUUACAGCCAUACACAGUACCUGUCAUUAUGAUGCCGUGGUGAUUCAUCUGUUUGUGUCCUGAAGGUAUUUCAAGCUUGGUGAAUGCCUGUUAAAAUGUGCUGGAAGGAUUGAAUGCCAUCACACGUUGGAGGCCCGAGGCACCUGGAAUGUGCCUCCCACAUUAGAUGCUUGCUAAACAACGAGACCCACCUGCACCUCUAAAGUCGCUCGGGCAUCUGGAAUUGCUUACUAAGGAAGAGGAAGCCACAGCUCCAUGGCAACAUCUAAUCAAGGCAUUUAUAGACUCUCAGUUGGAAAACAGUUCAGAUACAUCCCAGUCCUUCCUGGUGAGUGAUUUGCCUCUACAUCAUCUGCCAAUUCCUACUCAUUUCAGCCUCUCAGGUGUGAAUAAGAUGCUUUGGUCCUGAUACCAGUCACCAGAGUGCUACGGACGGGUGCAGUGAUGGCCGCUCACAGAUCUCCUGUCUCCAUGUUGAUGAAAGUUGGCGGGGGUCCCGGGGGGGCACUGCUA
Molecule: long non-coding RNA, 758 nt
Organism: Myotis davidii
Lineage: Eukaryota; Metazoa; Chordata; Mammalia; Chiroptera; Vespertilionidae
Exons: 6
Source: RefSeq, a predicted model, not a curated record